This 2683-nucleotide small RNA is filed under the name Pan troglodytes (chimpanzee). RNAcentral's name for it is "retained intron". Lineage: Eukaryota; Metazoa; Chordata; Mammalia; Primates; Hominidae. The record is from RNAcentral.
AAGAAGAAACUCCAAGAUGAAAUAGAAGAAGCCCUAAGAAGGCAUGACCUCCUUACUACCCUUGUCAAGAAAGAAUAUGAACAUAACAAGAGACUGCAAGACUUCAAGGACUGCAUUCGUAGGCAAAGGUUGACCCAAUCAAAGAUAAAAGAAAAUCGACAGCAAAUCGUUCGUGCUCGAAAAUAUUAUGAUGAUUAUAGAGUUCAGUUGUGUGCAAAAAUGAUGAGAAUGAGGACUCGGGAAGAAAUGGUAAGUCUGACUUUCUGUCCAGCCCUGUUAAGAAGGUGAACUUUGUUACCUUUCAGGACCACCUUCUUUGUUCGUGACUCUUGUCCACAUUUGAAUCCAAAAUCUAAAUCGAAGUCCUAUAGUGCUGGCCCUGAGUUCUGCUUGGCCACACUUCAUUUUCUUACUCCAUUGUGCAUUCCCGUCCAUUCUGUCUCCGUGUCCCUCAUCUUAAUGUGAAGUCUUACUUCCUCCCUGCCUCCUACACAUAACAGGUACUUCUCCAGUAAAACUACUUCAGAGGUUUGGGAACAUGUGAGAGACAAAUUUAGUGUGAUAACAUGACCUUGCAUUCCACAUAAAAUCAGGACUAGUGUCCAGCUGUGCUGUGAGGGGUUUUCCACAAGGUAUUUGCUAUGUCAUCCUAAUCAGGCUGAAAUGAUUAACCUUUUGAGAUCCCAAGCUAGCAAUAAAUUUCAUCUGUAAAAUAUUUUAGUAAUUAUAGUUUACUAAAGACUUGGACAUAUUUCUAGAGGAAGAUACUUGUAAGGCUUUGAGGAGAGGGUAAGUAACUUGUCUGUAGCUCAUGAAUGCGUGGCCGUCAGAACCAGUUUUUCUAUCCAGAAUUUACACUGAUGAAGGGAGGACAAGUGCGCAUAUCCAAGCCCUUUGAACAGUGUGUUUUCCGGUGGCCUCCCCAAAUGAUCACUCCCCCUCCUCAGUGAUGUACAUGUGUAGGUGUGGCAUGUUUCUGCUCUUGGCGUUCUUACCCUAUGUACGUGGUGGUUGCUUGACACUGCUUUUCUGAAGGUUGUAAAGAACCUCUGUGAUACAUGAAAAGAUAAUGAACACCUUAGUCAUUAGGGAAAUACGACUCAGAACCACAGUUAGAGGACAAGUGUUGGCAAGGAUGUGGAGAACUUGGGGCUGUAAAAUGGUGCAGCUGCUUUGGAAAAAAAUCUAGCAGUUCCUCAGAAGGUUACCAAAAGGUCAUAUAGAGUUACCCUAUGACCCAGCAAUUUCACUCCUAGCUAUAUAAUCACACAAAAAACACAAAUGUUCAUAGCAUUACUUAUAAUAGCCUAAAAGGGGAAACAACCCAAAGUGUCCAUCAGUUAAUGAAUGGAUAAAGAGUGUGCAUUCAUUCAUACAGUAGGAUGUUACUUGGCAAUAAAAAGGAAUGAAGUAUUCAUACAUACUGCAGUAUAGAUGAACCUUGAAAACAUGCGGAGUGAAAGAAACCAAAUACGAAAGGCCACGAAUUACAUGAUUCCAUUUUUAGGAAGUGUCCAGAAUAUGCAAAUCCAUGGAGACAGAAAGUAGACAGACUGGUGACUGCUAAGGAUGGGACAGGGGGAAUGAGCACUAGUCAGUAUACGGUUUCUUUUUGGGGUGGUAAAAAUGUUCUGUAGUGGUGAUGGUUGCACAACUGAGUAUAAUAAAACAAACUGAAUUACUUAUUUUAAAAGGGUAAGGCUGGACUCAGUGGCUCACGCCUGUAAUCCCAGCACUUUGGGAAGCUGAGGUGCAAGGAUUGCUUGGGACCAGCCUGGGCAACAUAGUGAGACGUCAUCUCUCCAAAAAAUUAAAAAUUUAGCCAGGCGUGGUGGCACAUGCCUAAGUCCCAGCUAUUUGGGUAGCCAAGGUGGGAGAAUUGCUUGAGCCUGGGAGGUCAAGGCUGCAGUGAGUUGUGACUGCCCCACUACACUCCAGCCUGGGUGACAGAGCAAUAACCUGUCUCAGAAAAAGGAGGUACAUUUUAUGGUAUGUCAAAACAUCUGAAUAAAACUAGUAUUUAAAAGAAAAAACCUUGUGAAAUACAAUCAGUAUAUACCUCUAGUUGGCCAAAAUGAUAUUCCUCAAUGACUAUUUUUACGAUUAAAUAACUGACAGAUAUUUAAGAAACUGUUUGAAGAAGGUUUAAACAUUCAAAAGCAAAGAUUACGAGACCUAAGAAACUAUGCCAAAGAAAAGCGAGAUGAACAAAGGAGACGCCACCAGGAUGAACUGGACUCCAUGGAGAACUACUAUAAGGACCAGUUUUCAUUGCUGGCAGAAGCCAUAUCACAGGAACAUCAAGAACUUAAAGCCAGAGAGAAAUCUCAGGCCCAGACAUUACAUAAGGUGAAGAGGGAGCUGAGAUCUAAGAUGGAGAAGGAAAUUCAGCAGCUGCAGGACAUGAUAACACAGAAUGAUGAUGAUGUUUUCUUCCGGGAACUGGAAGCUGAGCGCUUCAGAUCUCGGCUUCAGCUGGCUUCCUUUCAGUACAGUAAAAGUCCCUCCCUAUGAGGCCAGACUUGAUAAUAGGUGAAGGUUCUGGAGGCCUUUACCAGGACAGAGGUAGAAUCGAGCCAGUAAACAGUCUAAGCCCGAAAAAUAAUUUUCAAAUGCUUUACCUGUAUUUUCAUUCCAGUACUUUUUAUGAUUUUUUAAAUAAAAAUUGUUUUCUAAAAGCUUA